CCUACGGGAGGCAGCAGUGGGGAAUAUUGGGCAAUGGGCGCAAGCCUGACCCAGCAACGCCGCGUGAAGGAAGAAGGCUUUCGGGUUGUAAACUUCUUUUAAGAGGGAAGAGAAGAAGACGGUACCUCUUGAAUAAGCCACGGCUAACUACGUGCCAGCAGCCGCGGUAAUACGUAGGUGGCAAGCGUUGUCCGGAUUUACUGGGUGUAAAGGGCGUGCAGCCGGGCUGACAAGUCAGAUGUGAAAUCCAGCGGCUCAACCGCGGAACUGCAUUUGAAACUGUCAGUCUGGAGUACCGGAGAGGUCAUCGGAAUUGCUAGUGUAGCGGUGAAAGGCGUAGAUAGUAGGAGGAACACCAGUGGCGAAGGCGGCUUACUGGACUGUAACUGACGUUGAGGCUCGAAAGCGUGGGGAGCAAACAGGAUUAGAUACCCCGGUAGUC
RNAcentral lists this ribosomal RNA (442 nucleotides) under uncultured bacterium. Its description in RNAcentral is "partial 16S ribosomal RNA". It matches the Rfam family "Bacterial small subunit ribosomal RNA", at positions 338 to 795 of the family's 1533-position model. The record is from RNAcentral.